UCCAGUCAGCUCCUCUGCGUGCUUCUUGUCCUCCAGUGAAGACCGCUCUCCCAGGAACAAGGGAAGGAAGCAGGGCCCAUGCUCCUGCUCUGGAAGUGUCUGGGGCUACCAGAAUGUGGGCUCCCUAGAUGUGAGGCUCAGGUUCUAGCUCCACCAAGCCACCUACCAGCUGUGCCUGGUGUGCAGGCAGCCAGCCACUGAAGCCAAGCCCCAGGCCUGACUGAUCUUUACUCAGGGGUGUAGAGGCAUAGAGUAGGCACUAAGUGAACAUUUGUACCAGGGAAGGAAUCAAGGAAGCAAAGGACACCUGGGACAUCUUUUCAGAGACCAGUAUCUGCCC
This 340-nucleotide long non-coding RNA is filed under the name Homo sapiens (human). RNAcentral describes it as "non-protein coding lnc-WDR6-2:1". The record is from RNAcentral. Lineage: Eukaryota; Metazoa; Chordata; Mammalia; Primates; Hominidae.